CCCUAGUAUUUAGAUUAUAAAAUUAUUAGUAUUAGUGAAAUUUAAUAAUUUUGGUGGUUAAUUGUUAUUUGGAGGAGCUUGUAUAAGUAGAAUUUACUCUUUAUAUUUUAUUAGUAAUUAAUUUAUUCAUCUCCGUUAUUAGAUUUAAAAGGGGAAGUCUUGGAAAAUUAUUAUUAGCAUUUCAGGUCAAGAUGUAGUCUUUACUAGAAUAUAUUAGCUACAUUUAUGAAAUUAGUGGAUUAUGAUGAUAAUAAGUAGAAAAUAAGAAAUUGAAUUUAGUUGUAAUAGUAAUUAUAAUGUUAUUGUGAAUGGAUUUAAUUAAUAUA
This 326-nucleotide ribosomal RNA is filed under the name Iguapeia melanocephala. RNAcentral's name for it is "partial 12S ribosomal RNA". Lineage: Eukaryota; Metazoa; Arthropoda; Arachnida; Opiliones; Gonyleptidae. The record is from RNAcentral.